RNAcentral lists this ribosomal RNA (497 nucleotides) under uncultured bacterium. RNAcentral's name for it is "partial 16S ribosomal RNA". It matches the Rfam family "Bacterial small subunit ribosomal RNA", at positions 28 to 507 of the family's 1533-position model. The record is from RNAcentral.
GAUGAACGCUGGCGGCGUGCCUAAUACAUGCAAGUCGAGCGAACAGACGAGGAGCUUGCUCCUUCGACGUUAGCGGCGGACGGGUGAGUAACACGUAGGUAACCUACCUAUAAGACUGGGAUAACUUCGGGAAACCGGAGCUAAUACCGGAUAAUAUUUCGAACCGCAUGGUUCGAUAGUGAAAGAUGGCUUUGCUAUCACUUAUAGAUGGACCUGCGCCGUAUUAGCUAGUUGGUAAGGUAACGGAUUACCAAGGCAACGAUACGUAGCCGACCUGAGAGGGUGAUCGGCCACACUGGAACUGAGACACGGUCCAGACUCCUACGGGAGGCAGCAGUAGGGAAUCUUCCGCAAUGGGCGAAAGCCUGACGGAGCAACGCCGCGUGAGUGAUGAAGGUCUUCGGAUCGUAAAACUCUGUUAUUAGGGAAGAACAAACGUGUAAGUAACUGUGCACGUCUUGACGGUACCUAAUCAGAAAGCCACGGCUAACUACGUG